This 326-nucleotide long non-coding RNA is filed under the name Vigna radiata. RNAcentral's name for it is "long non-coding RNA (VRAD_LNC013253)". The record is from RNAcentral. Lineage: Eukaryota; Viridiplantae; Streptophyta; Magnoliopsida; Fabales; Fabaceae.
UAUACUGCAUUCUUUUAUGCACAUUAAAUUUUGCAUGGGGUGUGACACUCAUCACUCUGGUUGGAUGCUUGUGGUGAGGGUUGUAGUAAUGUCUCACAAGAAGGAAGCAAUUCUCUAUAGGUUUGAUUCCUCCUUCGAGUUGCACUUAAACCUUCAAGAAGAGGUUCCGAUGUUUUCUUGCUCCUAGUCCGAAUUGUAUCCUGCAUACACAAGAAACAAACCCUAAAAAGCACUUUUAUAUAAAAAAAAAAUAAAACAAAAACAAAAAAUCAAGUCAAAGUUAAUCCAUAAUCACACUACUAGAAUAGUUAAACCACGAGUCCUAG